This 87-nucleotide transfer RNA is filed under the name Spirochaetaceae bacterium. RNAcentral describes it as "tRNA-Ser". It matches the Rfam family "tRNA". From Rfam's summary of the family: Transfer RNA (tRNA) molecules are approximately 80 nucleotides in length. Lineage: Bacteria; Pseudomonadati; Spirochaetota; Spirochaetia; Spirochaetales; Spirochaetaceae. The record is from RNAcentral.
GGAGAGAUGCGAGAGCGGUCGAAUCGGACGGUCUCGAAAACCGUUGAACCCCUACGGGUUCCGAGGGUUCGAAUCCCUCUCUCUCCG